RNAcentral lists this long non-coding RNA (449 nucleotides) under Mytilus galloprovincialis (Mediterranean mussel). The record is from RNAcentral. Lineage: Eukaryota; Metazoa; Mollusca; Bivalvia; Mytilida; Mytilidae.
GGGAUGUUGCUACACAGAAAUGGAAAGUUGACUAUAGAAAAAUUAAAAUCAUCGCGUUUGUCAUAAAUUUUGGUAUUCAACCUACCAUCAGUAGUCUUUUCGAGAAAAAGAUGCAGAUUUAUCUGUGUCGGUAGUAUCUUUAAUUUCAAGUUCACUUGGAUAUAUUAAAUGUAAGUGAUCACUGAAUCUAUUAUUAUUAAGAGACAGUACAUCAUCAAUAUACCGAAAGGUGAAAUUAAAAGACUGGGCUAAUUUCUUUUCUCCUUUCUGUACAAGCCCUUGGAUAAAUUCUGCUUCAUAGGAAUAUAAAAACAAAUCUGCAAGUAGAGGAGCGCAAAUGGUACCCAUUGGGAUUCCAAUAGUCUGUUGGAAGACCAAACCUCCAAAUUCAACAAAUAUGUUAUCAAUUAAAAAGUCCAGCAUGGCAGUGAUAUCCUCGUCGGUAUAUU